AAGGUUAUACCUCAAAUUUCUUUAUUAAUUUUUAAUAAAUAAUUUAUAUUAAAUAUAAAAAUAUAUUUAUGAAAAAAAAAGACGACAAGACCCUAUUAAAUUUUACUUAUAGUUUAGCUGGGGAAGCUUUUCAAUUAAAAUUUUUUAAAAUCUUAAAAUAAAUAUCUAAUUUAAAUUAAAAUUUAAAUAAAUUACUAUAGGGAUAACAGCAUUAUAUUUUUUAAAAGUUCAUAUUAAAAAAAAUGAUUGUGACCUCGAUGUUGAAUUAUAUUUUCUAUAUUUAAUGCAAUAAUUAUAAAAGUAGAUCUGUUCGAUCUUUAAAAUAUUACAUGAUUUGAGUUCAAACCGGUGUAAACCAGGUUGGUUUCUAUCUUUUUAUAUAUUUUUCCAGUACGAAAGGACAAAAAAAUUUUUAUUUUAAUAAAUUAGCAAAUAUAAUGCAUUAGAUUUAGAAUCUAAAUAUAUUUAAAUU
RNAcentral lists this unclassified non-coding RNA (472 nucleotides) under Anelosimus studiosus. Its description in RNAcentral is "partial contains 16S ribosomal RNA and tRNA-Leu (trnL)". The stretch from base 76 to 376 matches the Rfam family "Bacterial large subunit ribosomal RNA", at positions 2074 to 2646 of the family's 2925-position model. Lineage: Eukaryota; Metazoa; Arthropoda; Arachnida; Araneae; Theridiidae. The record is from RNAcentral.